GGCAACACUGACCCUUGUUAGAAGCUCAAACUUUACAAAGUGGCAACAACAGCAAACAUGAGCACACACUUCUCUGUGACUGUACCCUGGAUGAUGACAUGUAAGCAGCUUGAACUAGAUUGGCUAACAUAAACUAAUUUAACUAGAUUACCGCACAUGUGGUGUGGCAAGAUAUAUGCACUUAAAUGUUUUAAAUCAUUCUCUGUUCCACCAAAUCGCUUCCCUUGAGCCUGGCAACUGCUAACAACAACUCUUUGAGUGAAUCUUUGGGGAUAUUUUGUGUUUUUAUAUUCCAAAAAUUAAAAAACAAAUCUAAAGAUUCAGGUGUUUACUUACCUGUGGUACGGUCCCAUAAGAUGACGUCACUGGCGCUGAUUUAAUUUGAAAAAAAAAAAAAAACCUUUAUCACAAAAGUGAGUGGACGUGUUAGCCUCACAUUAAUUCUUUUUUUUUAAAAAAAUACGUAAGAGCGUGAUUAUCCAAAGCGGACGGUAAAAUGACUGUAUUGAAUGUAUUCAGAGAAGUUGGAGCAGAUAUGUUAAAGCUUUAGCGAAUGAACCAAAGGUUCAAAAUGUCAAAGGACGGCCAACUAUGAAACAGAUUGUAGAACAUUUUAUAAAGCCAGUACAAUAAAGUCAGCCAGUCUCUAGCUGUGACAUUACCCAGCAUGCAUCCCCUCUGCCAUUAAUGCAAUAACCCAUACAAAUGCAACAGCCUGUAAUUAAUUUAUCUGCUGUCAUUUUCACUCAGCAAGUUGUUUACAUGAUAUCAUUUAUUGUGUUCAGUAUCUGUCACUACAAUGUGAUUUCAGAACCAUAGACUUAUAAGGACAGUAGUCUCAUGUGGUCAGUUAUCCAAGGUUUAGGAAGCUCUACAGUUUUCAAUGAGAGUACCCUGCACGUUGGUUCAUGAUGCGAGGGGGGACCCGGCGCGUUGAUAAGUGAAGCAGAGGGACCCUGACCAAGCGUCUAAAUAUGAUGAGUAACGUGUUGGCUUGUUUGUGCUGAGCAGCUGAUUAAAUACGUUUACAAUUAUAAUUAUAAAUGGCACACGCUCAACACAUCUACUGAUAAUCCAUCAGUUCCACCUCCACCAGCAGCACCACAUGUACCACAUCCAUCUUCCACAGGUAAUGUUAUAUGAUGUUCAUUAUUAAUACACCUAGUAAACAUUACUGUCGUGGUACUCUGACGUGAAGCUUUGAACCUUUCGAAAAGUCUGAGCAGGAACAACAAGCGCUGCAGCGGUCCAGCUUGAAUGAUGGAUCCUCACAUGGAAACCUCUGAAGAUCCUCUGACUUCCUGGAACGAGCACACAUAUAUUUACCCCCAUUAGUUUGUGUUAGCAAAGCAGCACCUAUGCACAGCAGCCUCAUCAGUGAAGGUGUGUUUGUAAAAGCUGAGGCUGUUUCAGCAAGAAGAGAAACCGACUCGGUCCAAAACCAGAGGAAAAAAUUAUGUUUGUCAAAAACAACUUUUGGAUCCUCUAAAAUGUAUAUUAUCACAGCCUGCCCUGGUUACAAUAGCACAGCCAAUUGUGGAAAUGAGAGGAGGGAGCUGGACAUAUUUGUAUACCAACACUGAAGGGAACGGAAACACUCCCCACAGACACCAGCAGAAGUCAUGGCGCGGAAGCGGGAAACAAGCACACGAAGAGAGCACACGCUGAGGAUUAUUUGCAGCAUCAGCCACAUGGAGCUGAUAAAGUGUAACAUGAGUUUGUCAUGAAGAGGGUUCUUGCUCUGUAGCAAACUGUUCACUUGGAUUUAGGACACAGCUCAGCUAAAAUAGCUUCCACUAACACACUGAGUGUUUCUGUGAUCUGCAGUAGGACCAGUUUAAAGUGUCACUACAAUAGAAACUACAAUAGAAACAUCAUUUUAAUGCUGCACUCAGUAACUGGACGGAAAGAAACAAACAAACAUUUUCAAAUGUUUCUAAAGUCCAGACUCCAUUUCUGCUUUUGUUUCAUCCAAAAUUCCUCACAAAGUUUCACUUCUCUGUCCUGACCUCAGCAUCACAUGAUCACAUUAUCACUUGAUCGUCUACAGUAGAAACAGCAGAAAUCUGUCGCUCCAUAGUUCCCAGUAACGGACUCACAGCUGGACCAACAAAGAAAGGUAAAAUUUAAAGAUGCACUCUGUGAACUUUUCUCUUGGACUUGGGUAAUGAUGGUCUUCCUCCUGGAGAGUCUUUCUCACAUGGCUGAUGUUGUGAUAAUGGCUUUUUCUUUACCAUAAAAAGAUCCUGGAUCAUCCACAUGCAUCUUCUGUGGACAUCCAGGCAUUUCUCUGUGCUUUUCUCCUGUGAAUGGACCAAACUGUUGAUGUGUCCUCUCCUGAUGUUCCUGCUCUUUCUGGAUCUGGAGGUAGAAAGUGUGUGUGAGCUGAUGUGAAUUGAGCAGCAUGGAUCAGUGUGAGGACAGAGAG
Oreochromis aureus is the source of this 2428-nucleotide long non-coding RNA. RefSeq lists it as uncharacterized. The transcript has 3 exons. Lineage: Eukaryota; Metazoa; Chordata; Actinopteri; Cichliformes; Cichlidae. The record is from RefSeq and is a predicted model, not a curated record.